This is a long non-coding RNA of Pyrus x bretschneideri (Chinese white pear), 1471 nucleotides long. RefSeq lists it as uncharacterized. The record is from RefSeq and is a predicted model, not a curated record. NCBI's taxonomy places the organism in Eukaryota, Viridiplantae, Streptophyta, Magnoliopsida, Rosales, Rosaceae. The transcript is spliced from 4 exons.
AAUGACGUGGCAACCUGGAGCUCAUACACUGACAGACAGAGAGAGAGGGCUUUGAAAAAUGGCAAUGGCUUGGAGGCUUCCCACCCUGCUAGCAACACCAGGAAACCUCCAUCACCAUGACUCCGAAACGCUAUCGUUCCAAGCCUCGCUGUCAUGAUGCCGGAGUUUAGCUACAGACCAUCUCCUUCCUUCGUCAUCUUCUUCCACCUCUACCGCCACUCUUUUGUAUCCUCCCUUCAACAGGAAAGCUUUCAUUUUUCCAUUUUUAUUCACAAAUCGCAAAAAAAAUCCCAUAUUUUUGUUUACAAACUUGAAAAGAACCCAUAUUUGUUUUCAAAUUUGAAAAGAACUGAAUUUUCAAUUUUUGAUUUGUGUGUGCAGGGACCAAUACGUGGCGUUUCAUGAAAUGUACGGCCAGGGCGAGAGCUGGGGCUGUGAAUCUUGCUUGGAGGACACUCGUCAGACCCUCCAGCAUACUGGUGGUCGACGCCACCGAGACUUUGGGGAGGCAGAUUGUGAGGAGAGCACUUCAUGAGGGACAUGAUGCUAGGUGCUUGGUUAGACCGAGACCAACCCCUGACGAUUUUCUAAGAGAUUGGCGUGCUACUGUUGUCAAUGUAGAUUGGGAAGGAAAAGUUGCUCUUACACAAUGAAGUUAUUUUAUUUGUUUUCUAUUCCAUCCACAACUGUGACAAGCAUCCCGAAGUUCCACUUAUGGAGAUCAAGUAUUGCACUGAAAAGUUUCUCCAGGAUUCAUGCAUAAAUUAAAUCACGUCAUAAUUCGUUUAUGUGGAUUCAUGGAAGCAGGGGAUUAUUGGACAGUAUGCAGUAUUGCAGUGCCUAUAUUAGAAGAGAAAUCAGUAUGGGGAACAGAUGGCCCCACAAGAAUUGCAUACAUGGACACCCAGUUUAAUCAUGCAUUGACCGUUUCCCUGGUUGAUGUUAGAAAUACCUUCUUUUUGUUUACCUCUCGUUAUGGUAUCUGAACACUUUUUAUUUUUGGUAUUAGUAUGUAGCUCCUCUGACCCUUAUAGGUUUAAGAAAUGAGAAAGUCAGCGGGAAGCUUCUCACAUUUGCUGGCCCCUCGCGCUUGGACAACCCAAGAGGUAAUAACAUUGUGUGAAAGGUUUGCGGGGCAAGAGGCAAAUAUAACAAGAGUUCCAGUUUCUAUCUUGAGAGUAACCCGUCAGCUAACAAGGCUUUUUGAGUGCACAAAUGAUGUUGCUGAUAGAUUGGCAUUUUCAGAGGUAACUUCUUAAAAUGAAAGAUGUGAAUCUGAUAAAAGAAAAUCGUAUUUCAGAAUGUUUUAUUUGCACUCAUUUUUUUCUUUCUUUUUGUUCGUAUGUUUAUGAGGAAAUUAGAAACAAGCUCAAAGGCCUUGCACUUUUUUCUUUUCUCAAUAUCGUUGAUUCUAUAUCAAAUUUUGUCAAUAUAGUUAUCAAUGACAAAGAAGGUCAAGUAAUUUUCUCAA